AUACACAUCAAAUUCCAAACUAAGAAUUCAUAUAAACAUAUUUUCACAUACACAAAACCACCCGCACAAAUCUCACACCCUCCAAAAUCCAAAAUAAACCUUCCUGACAUUCUCAAGUACACACUAACCCAACCACCCAAGAUAACACACGUGUGUGCAGUAAAUUUUAGAUACAUGUGUAGCCUACAAUUUACAAAUAAUAUACCACUACUUUUUAUUUGUAAAUCCCACAUAAGUAAGUGAUUCUCAUGGAAGCUUUUCUUGACUUUGGCCACACUCUUGCAUCCACAACCAACUUGUGCUACCAAGUGAACAAACUACGACUAAAGGCCUGUUCUUCCACUUUGCAGCUGCUCCUAUCAGUGACAAAUCAGCGUAUUAGAACAUGCAUGCUGGCUGAUCAUUCUGAUCAAGUCAACAAGCUUCACAACUUACUCAAUGAGGUCGUCCGUGAGAACUUCACUGUUUUACGAGGACAGGAGCUACUUCUUUGCUGAACUGCAUCACGGUUUCAACUGCUGAGGUUUUCUUCAAGCUUUUGCAUUGUUUGGAAUGUGAAAGGCACGGCCGAGACACACUUUGAGGUUCCCACUGCAUUGUUACACCUCCCCCCUCACUUCAGGGCCAGGUAACACCAAGAAGGACGCCAUGAGAGCGAAGGCCGUUGGGUAACC
This 674-nucleotide long non-coding RNA is filed under the name Pan troglodytes (chimpanzee). RNAcentral's name for it is "long non-coding RNA NONPTRT001810". The record is from RNAcentral. Lineage: Eukaryota; Metazoa; Chordata; Mammalia; Primates; Hominidae.